CCGAUCGACGACGAAGAGCUGAUCUCUUACAUCCUGCCCGGCCUCGAUUUCGACUACAACCCCGUCGUCUCCUCUGUGGCGGCGCGCGUCGAACCUAUCUCGGUGAGUGAGUUGUAUUCACAAAUGAUGAGUUUUGAAU
This 139-nucleotide small nucleolar RNA is filed under the name Leersia perrieri. RNAcentral describes it as "snoRNA snoZ247". It matches the Rfam family "Small nucleolar RNA Z247". From Rfam's summary of the family: Z247 is a member of the C/D class of snoRNA which contain the C (UGAUGA) and D (CUGA) box motifs. Most of the members of the box C/D family function in directing site-specific 2'-O-methylation of substrate RNAs. Lineage: Eukaryota; Viridiplantae; Streptophyta; Magnoliopsida; Poales; Poaceae. The record is from Rfam by way of RNAcentral.